RNAcentral lists this ribosomal RNA (407 nucleotides) under uncultured bacterium. RNAcentral's name for it is "partial 16S ribosomal RNA". It matches the Rfam family "Bacterial small subunit ribosomal RNA", at positions 30 to 526 of the family's 1533-position model. The record is from RNAcentral.
AUUGAACGCUGGCGGCAGGCCUAACACAUGCAAGUCGAGCGGAGCGGCGGACGGGUGAGUAAUGCCUAGGAAUGAGCCUGGUAGAGGGGGAUAACGUACGGAAACGGGCGCUAAUAACGCAUACUAGCAGAUGAGCCUAGGUCGGAUUGGCUAGUUGGUGGGUUAAAGGCCUACCAAGGCGACGAUCCGUAACUGGUCUGAGAGGAUGAUCAGUCACCCGGGAACUGAUACACGGUCCAGACUCCUACGGGAGGCAGCAGUGGGGAAUAUUGGACAAUGGGCGCAAGCCUGAUCCAGCCAUGCCGCGUGUGUGAAGAAGGCCUUCGGAUUGUAAAGCACUUUAAGUUGGGAGGCGUUACCAACAGAAUAAGCACCGGCUAACUUCGUGCCAGCAGCCGCGGUAAUAC